Molecule: ribosomal RNA, 530 nt
Filed under: Streptomyces misionensis JCM 4497
Lineage: Bacteria; Bacillati; Actinomycetota; Actinomycetes; Kitasatosporales; Streptomycetaceae
Description: bacterial SSU rRNA
Rfam family: Bacterial small subunit ribosomal RNA
Source: RNAcentral
GAACGCUGGCGGCGUGCUUAACACAUGCAAGUCGAACGAUGAAGCCCUUCGGGGUGGAUUAGUGGCGAACGGGUGAGUAACACGUGGGCAAUCUGCCCUGCACUCUGGGACAAGCCCUGGAAACGGGGUCUAAUACCGGAUACGACCAUCUUGGGCAUUCUUGAUGGUGGAAAGCUCCGGCGGUGCAGGAUGAGCCCGCGGCCUAUCAGCUUGUUGGUGAGGUAACGGCUCACCAAGGCGACGACGGGUAGCCGGCCUGAGAGGGCGACCGGCCACACUGGGACUGAGACACGGCCCAGACUCCUACGGGAGGCAGCAGUGGGGAAUAUUGCACAAUGGGCGAAAGCCUGAUGCAGCGACGCCGCGUGAGGGAUGACGGCCUUCGGGUUGUAAACCUCUUUCAGCAGGGAAGAAGCGAAAGUGACGGUACCUGCAGAAGAAGCGCCGGCUAACUACGUGCCAGCAGCCGCGGUAAUACGUAGGGCGCAAGCGUUGUCCGGAAUUAUUGGGCGUAAAGAGCUCGUAGGCGG